AACGAACGCUGGCGGCAGGCUUAACACAUGCAAGUCGAACGCCUCCUUCGGGGUGAGUGGCAGACGGGUGAGUAACGCGUGGGACCGUGCCCUUCAGUUCGGGAUAACCCCGGGCAACUGGGGCUAAUACCGGAUACGUGCGAGAGCAGACACAUUCAUCGCUGAAGGAUCGGCCCGCGUCUGAUUAGCCAGUUGGUGGGGGAAUGGCCCACCAAGGCGCCGAUCAGUAGCUGGUCUGAGAGGAUGAUCGGCCACAUUGGGACUGAGACGCGGCCCGAACUCCUACGGGAGGCAGCAGUGGGGAAUACUGGACAAUGGGCGGAAGCCUGAUCCAGCCAUGCCGCGUGGGUGAUGAAGGCCUGAGGGUUGUAAAGCUCUUUCGUCCGGGACGAUAAUGACGGUACCGGAAGAAGAAGCCCCGGCUAACUUCGUGCCAGCAGCCGCAGUAA
RNAcentral lists this ribosomal RNA (449 nucleotides) under uncultured bacterium. Its description in RNAcentral is "partial 16S ribosomal RNA". It matches the Rfam family "Bacterial small subunit ribosomal RNA", at positions 28 to 523 of the family's 1533-position model. The record is from RNAcentral.